GUUCCAUAAAUUUUCAUAUGCAUGUAUUACAAUAAUGAGUAGCUGUUCCAUGAAUUUUUAUAUGCAUGAAUGUGUAGUUGGAGUUUAAUUGUCAAUAAGUUUAUUUCAUAGUAUAGUAUAUUGUGACAACCGGGUCAAAUCCCGAAUCUUUUUCGAAAAUCAGGUCAAGUCCCGAAAUCCGAAUCCAAAUCCAAAAAUAAGCCGAAAUAAACUGGCCCAAUUGCAACAACUUGGGUAAUUUACAAGCCCACCACAGACCCCCAGAAGAUCAUGAUUUGUUGGUGCAAUUAGUAGUAAUACUUAUGCUUAUAAACUGAACAAAUAUUCCCACUCUUCUCGAUGUGGGACUGGAGUGUUACAUAUAUAAUAUCAUCAGUUCUCCGCUUAUUUUCUUUUUGGAGGCAUCAUCCAGGCAAAUGGUUUGUGGUGAUCCUUUUUAAUCCACUUUGAUAGAUGUUUUUUUGCCUGUUUCAUCAUUACAUUUUCAAAACAUACAAAAACACCGCAUAAACUUAAAUAUAGAAAUGUUUAGAGCAUGCCCGUGCCUCGCACGGGCUAUAAAGCUAGUUACUAAAAGCACUCAACUAAAACACACCCACACACACUUGCCAUUAAUAAAACGCAGCACAACAACUGCCCCAUCCAUCCAGAUCUUCCACGACCAACUCUCACAGUACCCCACCCACCCCUCCCUCCCUCCACCCGUGACCCAGCUUCCCUGCCCACAACCUCCCGUCCAAUCUCCCGCCACCGCUGGUAUAAUAUAUUCUUGACAAUGUCGUCAAGAAAUAAAGGAGGAAGAUGAGCUUACUCUACAUAUACACACAGUAUAUAUAGGUUUAGCCGUAUGUAUUUAUGUGUGUUUAUUGAUUCCGGAUUUAUUUGUUCUAGUGAUUUCAUUUGGUACUCAAUAUGCAAAUAUAUCGAAAAGAGCGCUUCUGAGUGAUGGUUGUGGGUCGGUGGUGGUGGUUAGGCGGUGAAAUUGGUGGCAGAAGUGACGAUCUCUCUCUCAAUCUCGUGAACGACUAGGCUCUGUUAUGGAUUAUAAUGUUGUUAAAAUUUUGAUAUUCUUGGUGAUAUAUUUACAGAAAUCGAUGAUUUUUGCUGUACAAAUUAGUGAUUUUUGCUUCUGAAAUUAGUGAUUUUCGCUUCAUAAAUUAGUGAUAUGCACUUCAGAAAUUAUUGAUAUGCGCUUCACAGAUUAGUGAUUCAUUCAAAACACAUAGUAAUUACUCAUAACUCCAUGGAAAAACUUUUAAUUAGCAGAUUUUGAGAUCGAAGAAGACGAUUACGAAAGAGAGAGAUGGUUUGGCUGCGUGUGUUAAUUAUUUUGUAUGGACUCUGCGUGUAUAUCUAAGCAGCGUGUAUAUCUGAGCAGAGUGUUUAUAAAGUGGACAUGUCGAAACUAUUGGGUUGGGCUGACAUUUGAUUGGGUUGGGCUGUGGUUUUUAGUUUGUAGAAUUAGAGGGUUUGUAGUAGAAUAAGAC
Molecule: long non-coding RNA, 1487 nt
Filed under: Daucus carota (carrot)
Lineage: Eukaryota; Viridiplantae; Streptophyta; Magnoliopsida; Apiales; Apiaceae
Description: long non-coding RNA (DCAR_LNC006358)
Source: RNAcentral